Molecule: long non-coding RNA, 214 nt
Filed under: Linum usitatissimum (flax)
Lineage: Eukaryota; Viridiplantae; Streptophyta; Magnoliopsida; Malpighiales; Linaceae
Description: long non-coding RNA (LUSI_LNC000176)
Source: RNAcentral
UGCCAACGCACUUGAUAAUCAUACUACAUCUACUCUGCAGCAUCAUUUUGCUUCUGGUUCAUCACCCUAUAGGAAUUCCCCCAAUGCCAAGUCUCCAUCUGUUAUUAGGAUAACACAGAAAACACCCUUGAUGUCCUCUCCUGGAAAAAUCACGGUCAAGGAGGAAGAUGAGGACGAGGAGGAGGAAGAGGAGGAGCAGGAGAGGGAGUUUGUU